RNAcentral lists this microRNA precursor (228 nucleotides) under Dioscorea bulbifera (air-potato). RNAcentral describes it as "partial MIR444 transcript variant 1g_1". Lineage: Eukaryota; Viridiplantae; Streptophyta; Magnoliopsida; Dioscoreales; Dioscoreaceae. The record is from RNAcentral.
AUCAACGGAAAGCUUUUGGCUAGGGUUUGGUUAGGACUGAUAAGCAGCUGAGGGUUUUCAGGUGAAAAGCUGAGGCUGGAGAAAGAGCAAGAGUUCUUGUGAUCUAUGUGAUAUAUAUGUAUAUAUAUAGUUCUUGUCUGCUGUCUUGUUGUAAUUUAUAGUGAAAGUUCUGUUGUAAUCUAUUGUAAAGAAAAUCAAGUGUAGAUUGACUUUGAAUAUUCUUGCAAG